GAUGAACGCUAGCUACAGGCUUAACACAUGCAGGUCGAGGGGCAGCAUUUUAGUUUGCUUGCAAACUAAAGAUGGCGACCGGCGCACGGGUGAGUAACACGUAUCCAACCUGCCGAUAACUCGGGGAUAGCCUUUCGAAAGAAAGAUUAAUAUCCGAUAGUAUAUUAAACCGCAUGGUUUUACUAUUAAGAAUUUCGGUUAUCGAUGGGGAUGCGUUCCAUUAGUUUGUCGGCGGGGUAACGGCCCACCAAGACUACGAUGGAUAGGGGUUCUGAGAGGAAGGUCCCCCCACAUUGGAACUGAGACACGGGUCCAAACUCCUACGGGAGGCAGCGGUGAGGAAUAUUGGGUCAAUGGGACGAGAGUCUGAACCAGGCCAAGUGCGUGAAGGAUGGGCUGCCCUAUGGGUUGUAAACUUCUUUUAUAUGGGAAUAAGUAUUCC
RNAcentral lists this ribosomal RNA (442 nucleotides) under uncultured bacterium. RNAcentral's name for it is "bacterial SSU rRNA". It matches the Rfam family "Bacterial small subunit ribosomal RNA", at positions 28 to 456 of the family's 1533-position model. The record is from RNAcentral.